This 87-nucleotide transfer RNA is filed under the name bacterium. RNAcentral's name for it is "tRNA-Ser". It matches the Rfam family "tRNA". From Rfam's summary of the family: Transfer RNA (tRNA) molecules are approximately 80 nucleotides in length. Their secondary structure includes four short double-helical elements and three loops (D, anti-codon, and T loops). Further hydrogen bonds mediate the characteristic L-shaped molecular structure. tRNAs have two regions of fundamental functional importance: the anti-codon, which is responsible for specific mRNA codon recognition, and the 3' end, to which the tRNAs corresponding amino acid is attached (by aminoacyl-tRNA synthetases). tRNAs cope with the degeneracy of the genetic code in two manners: having more than one tRNA (with a specific anti-codon) for a particular amino acid; and 'wobble' base-pairing, i.e. permitting non-standard base-pairing at the 3rd anti-codon position. The record is from RNAcentral.
GGAGGGUUGGCUGAGCGGCCGAAAGCAACACACUGCUAAUGUGUUAGGGGAGAAAUCCCCUCGUGGGUUCGAAUCCCACACCCUCCG